UACGUAGGGGGCAAGCGUUGUCCGGAAUUAUUGGGCGUAAAGAGCGUGUAGGCGGUCCGGUAAGUCGGCUGUGAAAGUCCAGGGCUCAACCCUGGGAUGCCGGUCGAUACUGCCGGACUAGAGUUCGGAAGAGGCGAGUGGAAUUCCCGGUGUAGCGGUGAAAUUCGUAGAUAUUCGGAGGAACACCAGUGGCGAAGGCGGCUCACUGGCUCGGUACUGACGCUGAGGUGCGAAAGCGUGGGGAGCAAACAGG
RNAcentral lists this ribosomal RNA (253 nucleotides) under uncultured bacterium. RNAcentral describes it as "partial 16S ribosomal RNA". It matches the Rfam family "Bacterial small subunit ribosomal RNA", at positions 524 to 776 of the family's 1533-position model. The record is from RNAcentral.